GACGAACCGAGCGAACGUUGUUCGGAAUCACUGGGCUUAAAGGGCGCGUAGGCGGCCUGCCAAGUCAGGAGUGAAAUCUUUCGGCUCAACCGGAAAAGUGCUUUUGAUACUGGCGGGCUAGAGGGAGAUAGGGGCAUGUGGAACUUCCGGUGGAGCGGUGAAAUGCGUUGAUAUCGGAAGGAACGCCGGUGGCGAAAGCGACGUGCUGGACCUCUUCUGACGCUGAGGCGCGAAAGCCAGGGGAGCGAACGGG
This 253-nucleotide ribosomal RNA is filed under the name uncultured bacterium. Its description in RNAcentral is "partial 16S ribosomal RNA". It matches the Rfam family "Bacterial small subunit ribosomal RNA", at positions 524 to 776 of the family's 1533-position model. The record is from RNAcentral.